Molecule: long non-coding RNA, 1366 nt
Organism: Heteronotia binoei (common prickly gecko)
Lineage: Eukaryota; Metazoa; Chordata; Lepidosauria; Squamata; Gekkonidae
Exons: 2
Source: RefSeq, a predicted model, not a curated record
GACAGCAUGUCAUCUAGUUAGUUGACAGCUCUAAAUUAGAUCACAUUCAGGACUGGCCAAUCAAUUAGCUAGUCAUGUAACAACUGGGGUAUAAUCUGGCUAGAAGUUACACCAAAACAGAUCACAGAUGUCAUCAAGACAACAUGACAGACAGUUACAGGAAAAGAGCUCCAUAAUCAUCUUGACAAUGAGAAGGAAUGACAUCUGGUGAUGCCUGACCAGAGAGCAUCAUAUAAUGGAUGGUUUUGCGCGCCUUGGAUUCCCACACUGCAUAGGCAGCAUUAAUGAAAUGUGCAUUGCUAUUUGAGCCCCUGGAAGGAAAAUCAAUCAGUACAGAAAAAGAAAACAAUUCUGCUCCAUGCUUCUCUAGGUGGCAGUGGAUCACACCAGUCAACUCAUCACUUCAGAGGUUGAGUAGAACAGGAGAGCUCAUAAUGCAUUCAUGUAUACAAGUUCCAACUUGUGUUCUUCAAUGGAUGGUGGGGUGUUUGUUCCUGGCAACCUUACAAGAACUCUGCAAAGGGUGAGUGUUCCUGCCCUCAUGAUAGCCAUUGGUACCUACCCCAUGUGGUGCUGGCUAGUGAAGUCAUACAGUAACCCUAGUAACAUGAGGGAAAGAAACUUCAACAACAACAAAACUUUGCAGGGCACACAAUGUUUUGUAGUGAGCAUUUGUGCAGCUGAAGUCUGUUUGAAGCUGCCUUUCUUCAUGCCUGACAGUAUUCAUUGAAAAUAUAACCACGGUUGUCCCUGUUUGUGUGAUUCUUCACAUCAUAUGUGAACAGAAGGCAUAUGAUGUUCUCAUUGAAAGAGCUGAGCAGGACACCAUGCUGGUGCCAGAGGAAGAAAAGGACUUCAAUCAAACCUGCAAACGGCAUCUUGCUGAGGGCAAGCAUGUGUGUAAUUCAUUCACAAACUUUAGGUAUACUCACCAACACAGAUACCAAAAACAUAUGAGAGAUACCAUAAACAUUUUAAAAAGUAGUUUGCCCAUGACAUUCUGUUUCCUUGAUCACAAGCAACCCAACUGCCAUUAUUAAUUUUCCUAGUAUUUAAUAAAGCAUUCUUUUCGUAGUUUCACAAGACAUGGGUUAUAUAUCCCUUCUGUGCAAAUAAAUCUUACUUUUUAUUUUUAAAAUCUGAAAGGUUCUAAAGUGUUUGCAAUGAUGUUUUAACGUUAUUCUGUUGAAAUGCCUCCAAAGUGACAUGGCACCUUCUGGCAGUGCGAUGAAAUCAAGGCAUUUCUUGACAUUGUACAAUCUGGCCAUUUUGCAGGCCUCAUGGCCAGUACAUGCUUAGAUGGUUCAAGUGAUACAGACCAAUAACAAUAUAAAAAUAAACAGACGUAUAAGAGUAUUUGUGAAAA